UGGGGAAUAUUGCACAAUGGGCGCAAGCCUGAUGCAGCAACGCCGCGUGAACGAUGAAGGUCUUCGGAUCGUAAAGUUCUGUUGCAGGGGAAGAUAAUGACGGUACCCUGUGAGGAAGCCCCGGCUAACUACGUGCCAGCAGCCGCGGUAAUACGUAGGGGGCUAGCGUUAUCCGGAUUCAUUGGGCGUAAAGCGCUCGUAGGCGGUCUGUUAGGUCGGCAAGUUAAAUCCGGGGGCUCAACCCCCGUCCGCUUCCGAUACCGGCAGACUUGAGUUUGGUAGGGGAAGGUGGAAUUCCUAGUGUAGCGGUGGAAUGCGCAGAUAUUAGGAAGAACACCGGUGGCGAAGGCGGCCUUCUGGGCCAUAACUGACGCUGAGGAGCGAAAGCUAGGGGAGCGAACAGG
Molecule: ribosomal RNA, 404 nt
Filed under: Verrucomicrobiota bacterium
Lineage: Bacteria; Pseudomonadati; Verrucomicrobiota
Description: Verrucomicrobia bacterium partial 16S ribosomal RNA
Rfam family: Bacterial small subunit ribosomal RNA
Source: RNAcentral